AUUGAACGCUGGCGGCAGGCUUAACACAUGCAAGUCGAACGAUGAUUAUCUAGCUUGCUAGAUAUGAUUAGUGGCGGACGGGUGAGUAACAUUUAGGAAUCUGCCUAGUAGUGGGGGAUAGCUCGGGGAAACUCGAAUUAAUACCGCAUACGACCUACGGGUGAAAGGGGGCGCAAGCUCUUGCUAUUAGAUGAGCCUAAAUCAGAUUAGCUAGUUGGUGGGGUAAAGGCCCACCAAGGCGACGAUCUGUAACUGGUCUGAGAGGAUGAUCAGUCACACCGGAACUGAGACACGGUCCGGACUCCUACGGGAGGCAGCAGUGGGGAAUAUUGGACAAUGGGGGCAACCCUGAUCCAGCCAUGCCGCGUGUGUGAAGAAGGCCUUUUGGUUGUAAAGCACUUUAAGCAGGGAGGAGAGGCUAAUGGUUAAUACCCAUUAGAUUAGACGUUACCUGCAGAAUAAGCACCGGCUAACUCUGUGCCAGCAGCCGCGGUAAUACAGAGGGUGCGAGCGUUAAUCGGAAUUACUGGGCGUAAAGCGAGUGUAGGUGGCUCAUUAAGUCACAUGUGAAAUCCCCGGGCUUAACCUGGGAACUGCAUGUGAUACUGGUGGUGCUAGAAUAUGUGAGAGGGAAGUAGAAUUCCAGGUGUAGCGGUGAAAUGCGUAGAGAUCUGGAGGAAUACCGAUGGCGAAGGCAGCUUCCUGGCAUAAUAUUGACACUGAGAUUCGAAAGCGUGGGUAGCAAGCAGGAUUAGAUACCCUGGUAGUCCACGCCGUAAACGAUGUCUACUAGCCGUUGGGGUCCUUGAGACUUUAGUGGCGCAGUUAACGCGAUAAGUAGACCGCCUGGGGAGUACGGCCGCAAGGUUAAAACUCAAAUGAAUUGACGGGGGCCCGCACAAGCGGUGGAGCAUGUGGUUUAAUUCGAUGCAACGCGAAGAACCUUACCUGGUCUUGACAUAGUGAGAAUCCUGCAGAGAUGCGGGAGUGCCUUCGGGAAUUCACAUACAGGUGCUGCAUGGCUGUCGUCAGCUCGUGUCGUGAGAUGUUGGGUUAAGUCCCGCAACGAGCGCAACCCUUUUCCUUAUUUGCCAGCGGGUUAAGCCGGGAACUUUAAGGAUACUGCCAGUGACAAACUGGAGGAAGGCGGGGACGACGUCAAGUCAUCAUGGCCCUUACGACCAGGGCUACGCACGUGCUACAAUGGUAGGUACAGAGGGUUGCUACACAGCGAUGUGAUGCUAAUCUCAAAAAGCCUAUCGUAGUCCGGAUUGGAGUCUGCAACUCGACUCCAUGAAGUCGGAAUCGCUAGUAAUCGCAGAUCAGAAUGCUGCGGUGAAUACGUUCCCGGGCCU
RNAcentral lists this ribosomal RNA (1355 nucleotides) under uncultured bacterium. Its description in RNAcentral is "bacterial SSU rRNA". It matches the Rfam family "Bacterial small subunit ribosomal RNA", at positions 28 to 1381 of the family's 1533-position model. The record is from RNAcentral.